RNAcentral lists this non-coding RNA (27 nucleotides) under Cricetulus griseus (Chinese hamster). The record is from RNAcentral. Lineage: Eukaryota; Metazoa; Chordata; Mammalia; Rodentia; Cricetidae.
CAUGACAAGUGAUACUUUCUGAAGAUA